RNAcentral lists this long non-coding RNA (2404 nucleotides) under Equus caballus (horse). Its description in RNAcentral is "lncRNA (ENSECAG00000046824.1)". The record is from RNAcentral. Lineage: Eukaryota; Metazoa; Chordata; Mammalia; Perissodactyla; Equidae.
GGUACACAUUGCUGUCCAGCCAGCUGCCAGUGGACCUUCCUUGUAAGUAACUCCUCAGUAAACCCACAUAUCUCGUUCGCUGACUCUGGGUCUUUUCUUUGGUCUCUUGGCAACCUAUCCCGCACUGCUCACCCAGCUGGGUGUGUGGUAGAACACUUGGCGAAGACAGAAAAACCCCCAUGAGUGCUGAGACUAUGGGCGAUGGAAGGGGAAUCUGCAGGGGUAAUCCUGGGUCCGCCCUGUGGGGGCUGGCUGCCACUAUCCUUGAAGGAGAGGGCCCACUGUACCUUCAGGAAGCCUCCGGAUCCCUCCUCACCCACCUAUGCCAACAAGGAUGGGUGGUAAACGACAACAAAAGGUCUGGAUUAUCUGUCAAAUACUUAGCUGUUAUCUGGUCAGAUAAGACAAAAGUGGUUCUUGCCACUGUCAUAAAUAAGAUAAGGGGUGCCUGUCCUCUUUAUAAGUUGGGGCAAAGGGGUAUGAUCCGGGACUGGGGGACCACCAAGCAGAAGGCCUUCACCCAAGCCAAAUAACAGUGAAACAAAUCCAGUCCUUGGGUGUUUAACACAAGGACAAUUGCGUGAACUGGAUGUUUCCAGUAACCUAGAGAGGUUCGGAUGGGGUCUCUGGCAGAGGCAAGGCAAUAAACCUUGGCUCCUGGUCCCCAUUGUGGAAAGGGGCUGGAAACCAGUACAAUGCCCUCAAACAACUGUGUGCUGCUUACUUGGCCUUCCAGCAGGUGGAGCCCAUAACCUGUUCCCUGCUGGUCACAAUCCGUACUCAUCCGCCCAUUGCCAGGUGGCUGCAGGACGCUCUCCAGAAGCCCCACUCGAGAGCAACCCAAACACAGACAUUGGCAAAAUGGCAUGCACACUUACAACGACGAGGGACCCUGACCAACAGUCCCCUCAGUGCCGAACUGCAUGCCAUCCUGGGGCCAGUAACAUACACCACAGAAAAAACAACCCUGUUAGAUGAGGCGCCCAUGCCUGAAACCCUGCCAAACGUACAGAAAGGAGAAGGACCAAUCCCAGUGGAGGCCUGGUAUAUGGAUGGCUCUGCAAGGGGCAACCCCCCUCCCGACUCCCCAGUGGACAGCACUAGCCAUCCAGCCUUCGACCGACAGCGUGUGGUUGGACUGUGGCUCUGGGUACAAUAGUCAAUGGGCUGAACUGCGAGCUGCCUGGAUGGUGCUGACUCGUGAACCCGAUCCAAUGCGUCUGUGCAUGGACAGGUGGGCGGUCUACAAAGGGCUCACCCUGUGGAUGGCACAGAGGGCACAACAAAAGUGGACAAUUAAUGGUCGCCCAUUGUGGGGGGCAGAACUCUGGGAUGAUAUCUGGCAGCAGGUCCAGGGAAUGACAGUAACAGUGUACCAUGUGUCUGCACAUCAGGCGAUGACGCCACCAGGGAACCAACAAGCAGAUGAGUUAGCUUGGAUUCGUCUCCUGGAAGAAGUGCCAGCCAAAAGAGUGGCAGAGCAGCUACACAAGAAGACUGGCACAAAGGACAAAGAAUCCUAGGGGCUAUUGCCAAGGCCUGGGGCCUCCCCCUGCACUAUGCUGGUGUGGUGCAGGUCUGUCGGGUGUGCCCUUCUUGCUCCUCGCAGAGACCCUGGGCCAUUCCCUGGGACACAGGCCAAAUAGCCAGAAACAACGCUGGCAAGUGGACUACAUUGGGCCCUUGCCUCUUUCUGAUGGCUGUCGGCAUGCUCUCACUUGUGUGGGGACAUCUACAGGACUGCUACAGACAUACCCCAGCAAAAGGGCCACAGCAUGAGGCCUGGGACGUCUCUGUGCUGCAUACGGUGUUCCCACAGACAUCAACAGUGACAAAGGUAUGCAUUUUACUGGCCAUCAGGUACAGACACGGGCUGGUCAAAUGGACAUACAUUGGCAUUCUCACCUGCCACACAAUCCCAUGGCCACAAGGCUGGUAGAACAAAUGAAUGGCUUCCUGAAACAAUUGAGGAUAGAAGACAGAACCCUAGCCCACUAGACAAGACACCUGGCAACUGCAAUACGUCAACUGAAUGAACAUGAGAGGCGCACCCAACCCAACGCAUAUGAGAUGUUGACACAAGGACCUGAUACAACAGUGCGUCUACAGACAAGGGAUCAUCAAAGAGACAAACUACAGCCACAGAUGAGCACUCAGAACAACUUGCUUUUUCCUCUGCCACAGAACUCCCUACUGGGACCCACAUGGUCACUUGCCCUGGGACUGGCAGGUCUGCCUCACGCCGGGAGCUGGGAAAAGGAGUCCAGGAAUAAUGACAAGAAAAAGAAGUCUGUACGGGCACAUCACAGACCUUUCCACCUGCGGCCGGUUGAAUCCACAUCACACAGGGGAGCGACUGUCCGUGGUUUAGGGAGUAGGAGGCAAAGGGAAGAUUUACGCCGCG